Pogona vitticeps (central bearded dragon) is the source of this 767-nucleotide non-coding RNA. The record is from RefSeq and is a predicted model, not a curated record. NCBI's taxonomy places the organism in Eukaryota, Metazoa, Chordata, Lepidosauria, Squamata, Agamidae.
UUUAAUGGCAAGACUUGCCUAACUUAAGUAACAAAUCCAAAGAAGGAUCCUAAAAGCACUUUAGGAAUAUCGAAUGGCUGAGGAAGCAAAAUGUCGACGUUAGAAUGUGGAGUCCCUGGAUUAUUCAGUUGCUCUCAGUAGCAAGACAGGUCAAGCACAGAUGAUUAUGAUUGAUAAAAUACGCAACAUACUGUGACCACAGAUGGCAUCUUAAAGUGUCUGCUGCCAAAUUUUGGCUACACACGAAAAGUGCAGUCCAUGACAGGUUAGAGAGAAGCAUUCAUCUUUGGAUCCACCAAAGUUGCCUUCCCAUGCUCUCUAGAAGAUCAAGGAGAAUGGGAUUAACAGAUAUCUUACUGCUUUCUGUGUGUCUGUUUUAAUUAUGUCCAGACAAAACGUGUUAUAUGGAGCACAUCCACUUCACAGAUGCACUUAGAUUUUUUUCUAAGUAUGUUCAAGGGAGUACAAUAAUUCUGAAACAGUUCUUCAAGACUCUCCUGCAGAAUUGCUGUGUUUCAUGUUCUUCAUCUCCAUAGCAUGGUUUGGUGACUGGAGACAUUGAUUUUGAGCUGGGCUGUUAUUCUUCUUCAACUCUCUGCUAAAUUAGCCAGGCUUGUGACAGAGAACAGCCAGGCAAAUUCUGAACAACUUACAAACUGCCCUGAAGAGAAUUUGGAAGGAUUCAAAAUGCAAGGUAAUCCCCAUAACCUAUUAUACACUUUGGCUAAUUGUUGUGCAACCUAACCUGAGGAGAAAUAAACUUUUUU